UUAUCCACCACAGGCCUAAAUCGUUAGUCCGCAAACAACGAGGGUGAUAAAAAAACCCAGCACUUUGAACACAGCCACCGGCAUGCUAUGAAUUUGAAAGCUUCCCAAAUUAGUAACUAUCAAGUUCUAUUAACCAUAGAAAACUGUUGUCCUUCUUUAUCUAAAAAUGAAAUUUUAAUCAAUUUAUUCAUAUAUUUGACCGAC
Molecule: long non-coding RNA, 204 nt
Filed under: Mytilus galloprovincialis (Mediterranean mussel)
Lineage: Eukaryota; Metazoa; Mollusca; Bivalvia; Mytilida; Mytilidae
Source: RNAcentral